CCUACGGGAGGCAGCAGUGGGGAAUAUUGCACAAUGGGCGCAAGCCUGAUGCAGCGACGCCGCGUGAGGGAUGACGGCCUUCGGGUUGUAAACCUCUUUCAGUAGGGAAGAAGCGAAAGUGACGGUACCUGCAGAAGAAGCGCCGGCUAACUACGUGCCAGCAGCCGCGGUAAUACGUAGGGCGCAAGCGUUAUCCGGAAUUAUUGGGCGUAAAGAGCUCGUAGGCGGUUUGUCGCGUCUGCCGUGAAAGUCCGGGGCUCAACUCCGGAUCUGCGGUGGGUACGGGCAGACUAGAGUGAUGUAGGGGAGACUGGAAUUCCUGGUGUAGCGGUGAAAUGCGCAGAUAUCAGGAGGAACACCGAUGGCGAAGGCAGGUCUCUGGGCAUUAACUGACGCUGAGGAGCGAAAGCAUGGGGAGCGAACAGGAUUAGAUACCCUGGUAGUCCAUGCCGUAAACGUUGGGCACUAGGUGUGGGGGACAUUCCACGUUUUCCGCGCCGUAGCUAACGCAUUAAGUGCCCCGCCUGGGGAGUACGGCCGCAAGGCUAAAACUUAAAGAUAGNGCGUGNGAGNGCGACGACGACGACGAGGAGGAGGAG
This 599-nucleotide ribosomal RNA is filed under the name uncultured bacterium. RNAcentral describes it as "bacterial SSU rRNA". It matches the Rfam family "Bacterial small subunit ribosomal RNA", at positions 338 to 946 of the family's 1533-position model. The record is from RNAcentral.